GGGCUCGACGGGUUUCGAUUCCGUGGGUUGCUUCGAUGAGAAGCGUGCCGAGGGUUGGACGGCCACCUCGCCAAUCAGACCGUCCACCAAGAGAUGCCAACGCUUCUCGCACCGACUACGCCCUCGCCGCUUGAUGCGCGCGAGACUCAUGGCGAGUCCCUCGCACACCGCAACGGGAACGGUUUCGCCCGCGGUGUCGGGGUCAGCAGCAGACGACCAUGACGACCCGGUUGGGCACACCCCGGACCGUCAUCACCAUUGUGUCUAGACCUGCCGGCCGCGCUGUUCACCGCAGACGCCGAGGUCGAAAAGCAGCCCACGGUGAACUACGCACGUAGAAGGCUUCGUUCAGUCACGGAAGACGGGGGUUCAACUCCCCCCGGGUCCACCA
This 391-nucleotide transfer-messenger RNA is filed under the name Curtobacterium sp. MCBD17_040. It matches the Rfam family "transfer-messenger RNA". Rfam says of the family: Bacterial tmRNA, also known as 10Sa RNA or SsrA, is named for its dual tRNA and mRNA-like properties. Its role is to liberate the mRNA from a stalled ribosome. Lineage: Bacteria; Bacillati; Actinomycetota; Actinomycetes; Micrococcales; Microbacteriaceae. The record is from Rfam by way of RNAcentral.